RNAcentral lists this ribosomal RNA (1106 nucleotides) under Salmonella enterica. Its description in RNAcentral is "bacterial SSU rRNA". It matches the Rfam family "Bacterial small subunit ribosomal RNA", at positions 199 to 1316 of the family's 1533-position model. The record is from RNAcentral. Lineage: Bacteria; Pseudomonadati; Pseudomonadota; Gammaproteobacteria; Enterobacterales; Enterobacteriaceae.
UGGUGUGGAAAGUUUUUCGGUCUGGGAUGGACUCGCGGCCUAUCAGCUUGUUGGUGAGGUAAUGGCUCACCAAGGCGACGACGGGUAGCCGGCCUGAGAGGGCGACCGGCCACACUGGGACUGAGACACGGCCCAGACUCCUACGGGAGGCAGCAGUGGGGAAUAUUGCACAAUGGGCGAAAGCCUGAUGCAGCGACGCCGCGUGAGGGAUGACGGCCUUCGGGUUGUAAACCUCUUUCAGCAGGGAAGAAGCGCAAGUGACGGUACCUGCAGAAGAAGCACCGGCUAACUACGUGCCAGCAGCCGCGGUAAUACGUAGGGUGCGAGCGUUGUCCGGAAUUAUUGGGCGUAAAGAGCUUGUAGGCGGUUUGUCGCGUCUGCCGUGAAAAUUCGAGGCUCAACCUCGAACUUGCGGUGGGUACGGGCAGACUAGAGUGUGGUAGGGGAGACUGGAAUUCCUGGUGUAGCGGUGAAAUGCGCAGAUAUCAGGAGGAACACCGAUGGCGAAGGCAGGUCUCUGGGCCACUACUGACGCUGAGAAGCGAAAGCAUGGGGAGCGAACAGGAUUAGAUACCCUGGUAGUCCAUGCCGUAAACGUUGGGAACUAGGUGUGGGUCUCAUUCCACGAGAUCCGUGCCGCAGCUAACGCAUUAAGUUCCCCGCCUGGGGAGUACGGCCGCAAGGCUAAAACUCAAAGGAAUUGACGGGGGCCCGCACAAGCGGCGGAGCAUGCGGAUUAAUUCGAUGCAACGCGAAGAACCUUACCAAGGCUUGACAUAUGCGAGAACGCGGCAGAGAUGUCGUUCUCUUUGGACACUCGCAUACAGGUGGUGCAUGGUUGUCGUCAGCUCGUGUCGUGAGAUGUUGGGUUAAGUCCCGCAACGAGCGCAACCCUCGUUCUAUGUUGCCAGCACGUGAUGGUGGGGACUCAUAGGAGACUGCCGGGGUCAACUCGGAGGAAGGUGGGGAUGACGUCAAAUCAUCAUGCCCCUUAUGUCUUGGGCUUCACGCAUGCUACAAUGGCCGGUACAAAGGGCUGCGAUACCGCGAGGUGGAGCGAAUCCCAAAAAACCGGUCUCAGUUCGGAUUGGGGUCUGCAACUCGAC